Long non-coding RNA from Aethalodelphis obliquidens (Pacific white-sided dolphin), 1480 nucleotides. RefSeq lists it as uncharacterized. The record is from RefSeq and is a predicted model, not a curated record. NCBI's taxonomy places the organism in Eukaryota, Metazoa, Chordata, Mammalia, Artiodactyla, Delphinidae. The transcript has 2 exons.
AGCUAUUUUACAUUUGGUAGUGUAUAUAUGUCAGUGUUACUCUCUCACUUCGUCCCGGUUUACCCUUCUUACUCCCCGUGUCCUCAAGUCCAUUCUCUACGUGGUGAUGAGACAUUUUUGACUGUUACUCCUGGGAGCGUAGGGUGUGUUGCUCCUGGCAUGUAGCUGGUAGAGCCAGAGAUGUUGUGAAACAUCCCACAGUGUCCAAGACAGCUUGCUACAACAAAGGAUAAUCUGGUCCAAAAUGUUAGUAGGGCAGCUGUUGAGAACUCUGGGUUAGGAGAGUUGGAGGAGGGUGGUGGGAAAGGGGAAGAAAAAGACUGAGAGACAGAGACCAGUGGACCAACACAUCAUGCAGAGAGGGUCCUGGAAUGGAGCCUGGGAACCAUACAUAGCCUUUAGCUGGGACCUGGAGGGGAAGGAGGGUGGAAAAACUGAUCAGCCUCCGGGGGUGGGAGAGGGCGGCUCUUUUCUAGCCAGGCUUGAAAGGAUUUGCUAUUAAGGAGGCCUGAUGUGGUUUCAAAGGGUCUCCUUUGCCCCCCUGAGUAGUUUUUCCAUAUUUAAAUUUCAAAUUACUUCAACAGAGGAAGCUUUCAUUCCAGUAAUGAAAUAAAAAGCUAAGUUGAAGGUGACAUAUUUUUGUGGGAAAGAACCGUCAAAUGUAACAGGCCAACAAAGAGAAAUGGCUCUUAUUAAAUCCUGUUUUUGAUUAGGGAAAGGAGAGAAGAACUUUGAGGGCUUGAGGUUGGUAGUGGGUCAGAGCAGAGCACAGAAGGGUACAUAAAGAAGAGACUUCACAGUGUUUCCUAGGGAAGUUCCUAUUCUCUUGAAACUUGUGUGGGAAAGUGAAGCUACAUGAUCAGAAGCAACUUUGAAAUAACUUAAAAAAAGUGGCAUUGGUGUAGGAAUAUUUUUUCCCCUUGAGACAUUUGUAUUAAUGAGUUGGAUGGUAAAAGAUGAUUAACAUUCCAGACUGGUAGAGUCCAGCAGUGGCUUCCAACGAUUAAAAUAACCUAUGUUUAAAUUCUCCAGGCUUCCACCUAUCCUUAGGCUGACUGAGGGGGGAAAAAUAGCUUUGGAGUCUGUACCGAGGGACAAGCAGAUCCACAACUUGAAAGGCUUGAGAAGGGAAAAGUGAAGAUCACUGCUCUAGAUGGAUUGCUUCGUUUCUUUCUGGAGGGCCAAGGACCAUUCACUAGAAGGUAAUUUAUUUUAAACCUUUUCUUCAUAGUUUAAUGAAGCAGAAGUUGAUUCAUACUUCACAACUUCAUCUGUAUUAGGACUGAUAACUAAUAAACUCUGCAAAAAAAAGUGUGCUUAUGGAAAUUACGUGGAUGUGUUUUGUACGUGCACGGCAUUUUCUAUCCAUUCUCUGUCUGUGAAAGACAAAUAUGUCUGUAUAGUACAAAGUUACUUUUGCUGUUGUCAGUACUUAUCAAUAUAGCUUAUGUCACAGCAAUAAUUAAAUCAUUCACUCUGA